RNAcentral lists this long non-coding RNA (355 nucleotides) under Ananas comosus (pineapple). RNAcentral's name for it is "long non-coding RNA (ACOM_LNC043065)". The record is from RNAcentral. Lineage: Eukaryota; Viridiplantae; Streptophyta; Magnoliopsida; Poales; Bromeliaceae.
UACUAUCGAUAGUAGCUUGGUGCUAUCGAGUUUUCCACCGUUAGAUUUAACUCUUUGAUUAUUUUUAACCGUUAAAUUAUACAAUCAACCAACCACCCACUCAACUCUAGAGGGUCCACAUUAUUCUAACCACACAUUUCUUAAUUCAAGGGCUAAAAAACUAAUAGCACCAAUAGCUUGGUGCUAUUGAUAGCAUUCCAACCUAGUUCUAUAUAUAUAUAUAUAUAUAUGUGUGUGUGUGUGUGUGUGUGUAGAGUCCUGUUGGGAUACUAUCGAUAGCACGAAGCAUUUGGUUUUUCUGCCGUUAGAUUUACCUCUUUUAUCAUUUUCAUCCGUUCAAUUAUACUAUUCAACC